CAAUGGGCGAAAGCCUGACGCAGCGACGCCGCGUGAGGGAAGAAGGCCUUCGGGUUGUAAACCUCUUUCAGGAAGGACGAAGCCCCUCGGGUUAAUAGCCUAGAGGGUGACGGUACUUCCAGAAGAAGCCCCGGCUAACUACGUGCCAGCAGCCGCGGUAAUACGUAGGGGGCAAGCGUUGUCCGGAUUUAUUGGGCGUAAAGAGCGUGUAGGCGGCUUGGUAGGUCAGCUGUGAAAACUCGAGGCUCAACCUCGAGAUGUCGGUUGAAACCACCUGGCUAGAGUCCGGAAGAGGAGAAUGGAAUUCCCGGUGUAGCGGUGAAAUGCGCAGAUAUCGGGAAGAACACCCGUGGCGAAGGCGGUUCUCUGGGACGGUACUGACGCUGAGACGCGAAAGCGUGGGGAGCGAACAGGAUUAGAUACCCUGGUAGUCCACGCCGUAAACGAUGGGUGCUAGGUGUGGGGGGUGUCGACUCCCUCCGUGCCGAAGCUAACGCAUUAAGCACCCCGCCUGGCGAGUACGG
RNAcentral lists this ribosomal RNA (524 nucleotides) under uncultured bacterium. RNAcentral describes it as "bacterial SSU rRNA". It matches the Rfam family "Bacterial small subunit ribosomal RNA", at positions 369 to 885 of the family's 1533-position model. The record is from RNAcentral.